UAUAUUUACAAAUUCAUCACACAUUUAUGAUUUUAUAUGGGAAUCAAAAAGCUUUCAUGAAUGUUCACCAUGUGCUGAUGUGCUCAGUGCUGUCAACAGACCCCAUUAUGACAUCACAAUGUAACGGAAUCCUUGCCAUGAUAUCAUUGCUGGUUCCAUCUGACAAGCAACAUUUACAUUUACAUUUACAUUUAAGUCAUUUACCAUUUCAUGAUAGUUCUCUCACAGAGAUAGGUUAAGUUCUUAUUUUGAGAGUGUUAACAUUUAUUAUCAAUGGCUUAUCGAGGAAGAAAAUCAAGUGAGUUUGACAAACUCCAGAAGGAGAACUCUCAGAUGAGGAGCGUCAUCGAAAACUUGAGGAAGCAAAACAUGGCUUUAAACCAACAGGAUGACCAGGACAGGUUUUCAAGUUUUGGCUAUCAGGAGAGCUACCCAAUCCCAGAGGGCCAUCGGGGCUUCAUCAGUGAUGCCAGACUUCUGCAGAUGCAGAGAGCUGAGAGAGAGGCCAUGGAAGGAAAGCAAAGAAAGAUAAGUGCUAUCCAUGAGAAUUAUGUCCGGACUGCUCUCAUCGGGGUUGGCAGCACCUUCGCGCACCACUUCGUCCCCUCUAUUCAGUGCAUUCCGCGGCCGAAAGCUCCACCGAGGCCUUUGCCACGAAGGCUUGAACACAUAGCUCUGGCCCCACUGAAGAACGUGGUGGGGGUGGACGGAGCCCAAGUUCGACCCGGAUCUCACUCUCUGGAGUCCAUCCAGGUAAAUAAGUCAUUCAGCAGCAGUAGCGUGCGGCCUGUUCCCGUCCCUCCCACUGGAGCUCCCUCCAAGAGGGGCAAGAAGAAGAAGGGCAGGCGGGGAGUCAAAGCCCUGAAAGUCCAGUUGGACCAGGGCUGUGCUGACAACAACGGACCCAUUGACCUGAUGGAGGAGGUGAGGGACAUCGAGGCUCACCUGAAGGAGGAGGCCUGGAAGGUGGUACAUGAGGUGAAGGCCAUGGGCAGGAGAAGUUUUGGCUCGGCCAUGUCCAUGGGGGAAAUAGCCACCAGCUCUCUGGGAAGCCUGAGCUCAGUGGAUAUGAACACCCCUGCGGAGCUCCGUGACUACUUGGAUGUUGGGACCCCGGUAAAGUCGCGUGACAGCCCACCCAGGCCUGCUCCCCCCCCUACCAAGCCCAGGAGCAAACUGCCUCGGCCUACAAGGUUCCUUAGCCUGCAAAAGGCUGACACCGGCUCAGACAAGAAGGCAGCCAGUGAGCCAAAGGGCCAAAUAAAG
This 1266-nucleotide long non-coding RNA is filed under the name Salmo salar (Atlantic salmon). Its description in RNAcentral is "lncRNA (ENSSSAG00000090188.1)". Lineage: Eukaryota; Metazoa; Chordata; Actinopteri; Salmoniformes; Salmonidae. The record is from RNAcentral.